UGGUUCCAAACUAACCAAAACAAACAAAUUUUUCUUCCUUUUCACCUAUACCAAUAUCUUCACGUUUCUAACUCUCUCUCUCUCUCUUUUUCUCUUUCUGUUUCUUCUCUUCACAUUUUACAUCUUUCUCUCACUCAAAUUUCAUCUGAAUCUCUUCUAUGAACCUAAGUGCCUUUCCAUCACAACCAUGAAAUUGCGUCUAAGAAGGCGGAGGAGUUCAAGUGUAAUUCGGCGCUGGCGUUAUGGCUAUGGAAAAAAAAUGGUGUGCGAAUCAGUUUGUGGUGAAAAGGCACAUGACGGAGACAACAUCUAGCGAUUAUCAGAUCUAUUUGGAGAAAAAGAGUGGGAGACGUUUGCCAAUAGAGGUAGGUGGAGUUAGGGUAUGGAAUGAUGAUGAAUACGGAAGGUUUUUUUACGGUUAUGAGCGAGAUUUGUGGAUUUGGUUGAAGGAAAUACAUGAUAUGUAAGUCUCAAUUUUUGGUGUCGAAGAAUCAAAGAGCGAUGUUGGUGAAAUCAGAACUGCAUCAUGGAAACCUAACUGAGUAAUAGCGAUACUAGAGGAAGAGGUUUUGGUACCAUUUUUGGUUCCACUAUUAAUCCAAGAUCACUCAGGUUUCAACCUUUUGGUUUGUCUUUUUUUCCUAGCAACUUUGAUUUCUCAGUUAUUCCAAUUUUGAGUUCUAUUUUGUAGCUAUUGGUUUAUCUCUCUCCCCAUCAAUGCUUCAGGGUUUUUCCUUUAGUGAUUUCAUUAAUGGCUUUAUCUCUCUCCCCAUCAAGGCUCAUGGUUUUUCUUUCAACAAAGCACUUAAGAGAUUUGUUGGUUUCCUUUAGAAGGGCAACAAGACGGAAGCCGCAAAGGAUUAUGUUUUAUACGGAUGGUGUAAGUGAAUGAUAGUUUUACCAAGUUUUACUAACGAGCUGGAUGUGACUCAGAAGGUUUGAAGGGACCAAUAAAGAUGGGAACCUGCUUCUUUUUUUCAAUUUCUGUGAAUGAGCUUGAAUAUGGAACGGAGGAGUCACCAGUGUCCCAAGGGAAGUCAAUUCAACAGAACUCAUAAAGUGCAAUUCAAACUAAUUUUGGUGCAUCCAUAUAGUCUAAUGCAUUUGAAAGUACUGUUGCAGGACACGCAAUGCGCCCUGGGCCAACUGAUCAAGCAAAUAACUAUGUAUUCUCAAAUGCACUCUCUAGCCCCAUCCGUCGUAGACUUCAGCCGUAUCGUUUAGCACAGGGGAGCAGUCCGUCGAGUAAUCUCAUGUCAUCCGGGAAUGGAAAUGAUCUAAAGUCCUUGAAAAUUUUGAGCUUAUUAUUUGUUGGUUUGUAGAUAUUAUAAUGGAUUGCAGUUAAUUGUAAUUGACAAAAUUGGAUGGAAUUGCAUCUCAUAUGCUGAUGAAUAAGUUAAUGACAAUGCACGUGCACU
Long non-coding RNA from Vicia villosa (hairy vetch), 1418 nucleotides. RefSeq lists it as uncharacterized. The transcript has 6 exons. Lineage: Eukaryota; Viridiplantae; Streptophyta; Magnoliopsida; Fabales; Fabaceae. The record is from RefSeq and is a predicted model, not a curated record.